UUUUAACACGGAGUAGAAAAUUGAAAAUAGAACAUGUACUAACCAGAAUUUAUUGCAGCAUGAAUUUCAAUGCUCAACAAGUAAGAUGAUCCAUGAGCAUACAAUGCAACCUGAAGCUGCAAACAACACGGUAUAGUGAAUUUAUUCAAAUAUGCUGCUCAAAGAAAAUUACAAGUAUAUCAAAUAAUCACAUGUGAUACGUUUCUAAUAAGUCAUGGGCUUCAAAGUGGAACAGCAGAGUAUGGGUGCAGUAAACAUAGACAAGUAAAAGAAUCGAGAUCUUUACUUUAGCAAAGCGCAACUCAUCCAAAAGAAACAGAAUGGAGUCUUCUAACUUCUGAAGAAAAAAAACUCAUGCAUACAUCUCACCUUAUACACGCACAUUAACGUCAGUCUAGGUGGGAAUUUCUCCGGUACUUAGCUAAGAACACUUUCUUUCGUUCAUCCUCAGCGCAGAGCUAAACUUUGGAUGAAACACUAAUGACGAAAGAUUCACCAAAGACGGAAAAUUAAUUUUAACCGGAUAAUCACAUUCAGCUAGCCAUUCACCUAUCUAAAUUUGGUAAAACAGCAUAAACCAGAUAAGAAGAAGAAAACCUUCAAAAAUACCUAACCAAAGGCUAAAAUUUUAAAAAUUAUCUGCAUCCAAGAGUACAUGACUUGUGCAAAGAAGACACGAGACAGGCAGGCAUCCAAACCAGUGAAAACACCAAAGCCGAACGCUGGCAAGCAGACAUGAAAAAAGCCCCAAGAAAGGGAUGAUUUGGGCAGCUCCUCUUAUCAAUUAGAGAACUGAACUCAAAUUUAUUUACUAAUUUCACCUUGACAACCUCAUUUAGAAAAGCCGACUCUUAACAUAAACAAAAACUCAUUAUGAAAGUACAGUUAUUAGUUGCUAAUUAAUCAAGCAAAACAACUGCACUGAAAAUAAUGCAAUCAGUCAGGAUCACACCUUAUGCUCCUUCAAAUCUAAGUGAAACUCCUUGUGUUUUUUUUUUUUUUUCCUUGGCGUUGGAGACGACUUAUAAGCCAUUGACUGAGCUUUCCUCGUCUCUCCUCCAUUGCCAACUGAACAGUACCUAUGAUCAUUGAUUUCCCUGGUGUCUUCUCCCAUGCACCUUUUCUCUAAAUGUACCAAAUGAACAACAUAAUCGGAUAACAGGAGGAAAUUGAACUAAAAACGAAAAAAGAGAGGGAUUAGAGUAGAAAUGUCCUUAUCAGUGGACAAAGAGACUUAUCGACGGGCACCGUUCGUGGUUUGAACAAAAAAGUGUUUCUGGAGAAUAAUUAAGAAUUAAUAGAUAAUUAAAAUGGAAGAUUAUUCUUAUUGCUUGAUUACUACUAUUUAUACACAAGUGAGUUAACUGCCGCUCAGCUCAACCAACCAACCAGUUUCUUUUGAUUAUAACAAUUUACUAAUGAUCUAACUAAUUCUUCCGGACUAAUAUUCUUUUCGUAGCUAAAAUAAAUAGUCUUUUAACUUCUACGGCUCCCCUCAAGAUGGAAUUGGGAUAAAUCAACCAACCCCAUCUUGAAUAAUAGGAAUGAGAAAACGUGUUGAGAUAGGGGCUUGGUAAACAGAUUCGCUAACUAGGGUUUAGAGGAAAUAUGUGAGGUUGAGAUAAAGCCAGUAUUAAGUUUGUUUCUAACAAUAUGACAAUCUAUAUCUAUGUUUUUUAUAAGUUCGUGAAAGAAUGGAUUGGCUACUAUGUGUAAAGCAGCUUGAUUGUCGCAUUUGAGGGGAAUAGGUAGUAAUAUUUUUAAUUGAAAAUCUUGAAGUAUAUAAGAGAACCAUUGUAAUUCACACACAGUACUCACCAUGCUCCUAUACUCGGCUUCUGCUCAGGAUCGACUCAUAGUUGGUUGCUUCUUUGACUUUCAAGAAGUGAGGAGCCAGAAAGAUGCAGUAACCUAUCAAUGAUUUUCUUGUGAUUGGACAUGCGGCCCAAUCUGUAUC
RNAcentral lists this long non-coding RNA (1957 nucleotides) under Manihot esculenta (cassava). Its description in RNAcentral is "long non-coding RNA (MESC_LNC002690)". The record is from RNAcentral. Lineage: Eukaryota; Viridiplantae; Streptophyta; Magnoliopsida; Malpighiales; Euphorbiaceae.